This 506-nucleotide ribosomal RNA is filed under the name uncultured bacterium. RNAcentral's name for it is "partial 16S ribosomal RNA". It matches the Rfam family "Bacterial small subunit ribosomal RNA", at positions 30 to 523 of the family's 1533-position model. The record is from RNAcentral.
AUUGAACGCUGGCGGCAGGCCUAACACAUGCAAGUCGAACGGUAACAGGAAGAAGCUUGCUUCUCUGCUGACGAGUGGCGGACGGGUGAGUAAUGUCUGGGAAACUGCCUGAUGGAGGGGGAUAACUACUCGAAACGGUAGCUAAUACCGCAUAACGUCGCAAGACCAAAGAGGGGGAGCUUCGGGCCUCGUGCCAUCGGAGGGGACAAGAUGGGAUUAGCUCGUUGGUGGGGUAACGGCUCACCAAGGCGACGAUCCCUAGCUGGUCUGAGAGGAUGACCAGCCACACUGGAACUGAGACACGGUCCAGACUCCUACGGGAGGCAGCAGUGGGGAAUAUUGCACAAUGGGCGCAAGCCUGAUGCAGCCAUGCCGCGUGUAUGAAGAAGGCCUUCGGGUUGUAAAGUACUUUCAGCGGGGAGGAAGGGAGUAAAGUUAAUACCUUUGCUCAUUGACGUUACCCGCAGAAGAAGCACCGGCUAACUCCGUGCCAGCAGCCGCAGUAA